RNAcentral lists this long non-coding RNA (1528 nucleotides) under Chrysemys picta bellii (western painted turtle). RNAcentral describes it as "lncRNA (ENSCPBG00000024067.1)". The record is from RNAcentral. Lineage: Eukaryota; Metazoa; Chordata; Testudines; Emydidae.
UGGGAACUGGGGAAUAGAGUUUCAAAUGUUAAGAAAAUUAAAGCAAACAAACAAUUGUAUACACAAAACUCUUUAAAACCGAUAUUUAUAAUAUGUAGUAUAAAAGAUCCAUAGGUACAAAGGGCUACACACUGUGGCCACAAAGGAAUUUGUAGUUUUAGCCAGAGAGAAGUCUCAUCCUUAUACUCCAAAACAAAAAUCACUAAUAUUUGAACUAAAGGAGAGUCUCCAUUAGCACCUGUAGCCUUCAGGCUCAUGACACACAUUUGAGAAGGUCAAAGAUCCCAUCCAGCAGAAGGCAGAGACCCACACACAACUGCCAGUACAUAUAUUUAUUUUGAUUUGACAUUUAAAAAUGCCCACACAAAACUCUGAGUACCCCAGUGAUAAUUAAGUGUGUAAUGAACAGGUCGGAUUAUGAACAGGAGGCUGCCAGGCAUCUCUCCAAGACCACAUUCUACAGGCCACUAUCCUCUGAUCCCACUGAGGAAUACCAAAAGAAACUACACCAUCUGCUCCAGAAAUUCCCAGCUACAGUACGGGAACAAAUCUACAUGGACACACCCCCAGAACCCCGACCAGGGGUAUUCUAUCUGCUACCCAAGAUCCAUAAACCCGGAAACCCUGGACGCCCCAUCAUCUCAGGCAUUGGCACUCUUACAGCAGGAUUAUCUGGCUAUUUGGACUCUCUCCUCAGACCCUACGCUACCAGCACUCCCAGCUAUCUUCGAGAUACCACCGACUUCCUGAGGAAACUACAAUGCAUUGGUGUUCUUCCUGAAAACACCAUCCUGGCCAUCAUGGAUGUAGAAGCACUUUACACCAAUAUUCCACAUGAGGAUGGACUACAAGCUGUCAGGAACAGUAUCCCUGAUGAGGCCACAACACGCCUGGUGGCUGAGCUUUGUGACUUUGUCCUCACCCACAACCACUUCAGAUUUGGGGACAACUUAUACCUUCAAGUCAGUGGCACUGCUAUGGGUACCCGCAUGGCCCCACAGUAUGCCAACAUUUUUAUGGCUGACUUAGAACAACGCUUCCUCAGCUCUCAUCCCCUAGUGCCCCUACUCUACUUGCGCUACAUUAAUGACAUCUUCAUCAUAUGGACCCACGGAAAGGAGGCCCUUGAAGAAUUCCAUCUGGACUUCAACAAUUUCCACCCCACCAUCAAUCUCAGCCUGGACCAGUCUACACAAGCGAUCCACUUCCUGGACACUACAGUGCAAAUAAGUGAUGGUCACAUAAACACCACCCUAUACUGGAAACCUACUGACCGCUAUACGUACCUACAUGCCUCCAGCUUCCAUCCAAGACACAUCACACGAUCCAUUGUCUACAGCCAAGCCCUAAGAUACAACCGAAUUUGCUCCAACCCCUCAGACAGAGACAAACACCUACAAGAUCUUUAUCAAGCAUUCGUAAAACUACAAUACCCACCUAGGGAAGUGAGGGAACAGAUUGACAGAGCAAGACGGGUACCCAGAAAUCACCUACUACAGGACAGGCCCAACAAGGACAAUAACAGAAC